GAUGAACGCUAGCUACAGGCUUAACACAUGCAAGUCGAGGGGAAACGAUAUUGGAAGCUUGCUUCCGAUAGGCGUCGACCGGCGCACGGGUGAGUAACGCGUAUCCAACCUGCCCAUCACUUGGGGAUAACCUUGCGAAAGUAAGACUAAUACCCAAUGAUAUCCGUCGAAGACAUCUGAAGUGGAUUAAAGAUUCAUCGGUGAUGGAUGGGGAUGCGUCUGAUUAGCUUGUUGGCGGGGUAACGGCCCACCAAGGCAACGAUCAGUAGGGGUUCUGAGAGGAAGGUCCCCCACAUUGGAACUGAGACACGGUCCAAACUCCUACGGGAGGCAGCAGUAAGGAAUAGUGGUCAAUGGACGAGAGUCUGAACCAGCCAAGUAGCGUGCAGGAUGACGGCCCUAUGGGUUGUAACCUGCUUUUAUAAGGGAAUAAAGUGGGAGUCGUGACUCCUUUUGCAUGUACCUUAUGAAUAAGGACCGGCUAAUUCCGUGCCAGCCGCCGCCGUAA
This 508-nucleotide ribosomal RNA is filed under the name uncultured bacterium. RNAcentral's name for it is "partial 16S ribosomal RNA". It matches the Rfam family "Bacterial small subunit ribosomal RNA", at positions 28 to 523 of the family's 1533-position model. The record is from RNAcentral.